CACGUAGGCGGCUUUGCAAGUCCCAUGUGAAAGCCCACGGCUUAACCGUGGAAGUGCAUGGGAAACUGCAGAGCUUGAGUACUUAAGAGGAUCGCGGAAUUCCCGGUGUAGAGGUGAAAUUCGUAGAUAUCGGGAGGAACACCAGUGGCGAAGGCGGCGAUCUGGGAAGAUACUGACGCUGAGGUGCGAAAGCGUGGGGAGCAAACA
Molecule: ribosomal RNA, 207 nt
Filed under: uncultured bacterium
Lineage: Bacteria
Description: partial 16S ribosomal RNA
Rfam family: Bacterial small subunit ribosomal RNA
Source: RNAcentral